AAAGUUGACAGUGGACUGAAUAAACAUAAUGGUGCAAGUCUUUGAUAUUAAUAAGAGUUCCUAAAUAAAAUAUACCUACAAAAUAUAUUGUAAAACUUUUUUACAUGUAAAAACUAUAGUGUUUUGGAUCUUCUUAUUAUCUAACUUUCAGACUUGAAGUAUUUUAACACCACUGGUGAUGGAUCAGCUAACGUUUUCGGUGCGCACAUGAGAUUCCCUGGUUUUAAAAAGAUUGUGUUGUUUCUUAGUCCUUAAUAUUCUAUGUAGGGUUUUUAUGUACUUUUGUUUGAUUUUUGUUAGUGUU
Molecule: long non-coding RNA, 304 nt
Filed under: Mytilus galloprovincialis (Mediterranean mussel)
Lineage: Eukaryota; Metazoa; Mollusca; Bivalvia; Mytilida; Mytilidae
Source: RNAcentral